RNAcentral lists this ribosomal RNA (253 nucleotides) under uncultured bacterium. RNAcentral describes it as "partial 16S ribosomal RNA". It matches the Rfam family "Bacterial small subunit ribosomal RNA", at positions 524 to 776 of the family's 1533-position model. The record is from RNAcentral.
UACGUAGGGGGCAAGCGUUGUCCGGAAUUACUGGGCGUAAAGCGCGUGUAGGCGGGACGGUUAGUCGGACGUGAAAGGCUGGGGCUCAACCCCAGAUCGCCGUUCGAAACUGCCGUUCUUGAGGGUCGAAGAGGAGAGUGGAAUUCCUGGUGUAGCGGUGAAAUGCGCAGAGAUCGGGAGGAACACCCGUAGCGAAGGCGGCACUCUGGGCCGGUACUGACGCUGAGGAGCGAAAGCGUGGGGAGCAAACAGG